Molecule: small nuclear RNA, 193 nt
Filed under: Hordeum vulgare
Lineage: Eukaryota; Viridiplantae; Streptophyta; Magnoliopsida; Poales; Poaceae
Description: U2 spliceosomal RNA
Rfam family: U2 spliceosomal RNA
About the family: U2 is a small nuclear RNA (snRNA) component of the spliceosome (involved in pre-mRNA splicing). Complementary binding between U2 snRNA (in an area lying towards the 5' end but 3' to hairpin I) and the branchpoint sequence (BPS) of the intron results the bulging out of an unpaired adenosine, on the BPS, which initiates a nucleophilic attack at the intronic 5' splice site, thus starting the first of two transesterification reactions that mediate splicing.
Source: RNAcentral
AUACCUUUCUCGGCCUUUUGGCUAAGAUCAAGUGUAGUAUCUGUUCUUAUCAGUUUAAUAUCUGAUAUGUGGGGUACACCCUCACAACGAUAUUAAAUUUAUUUUUUGUGGGGGUGGGCCCACCACGGUGGCUUGCCACUGGGGCCCACAGGUGUCGCCGCGUUGCACUAUUGCCUGGGCAGGCGCACCCCAA